This is a long non-coding RNA of Xenia sp. Carnegie-2017, 701 nucleotides long. RefSeq lists it as uncharacterized. Lineage: Eukaryota; Metazoa; Cnidaria; Anthozoa; Malacalcyonacea; Xeniidae. The record is from RefSeq and is a predicted model, not a curated record. The transcript is spliced from 4 exons.
CACACGUCUUUGCUUUCAUUCUCUGUUAAACUGUUUGGCAUAGCAAUCUUAGUGAAUAGAUUGGCAAUCUGUUCAUAUGACACUUAACUUCCAGUGCGCUAAAUAUCAAAACCAGAAAGUUUCAACCGUCGACCAGUAAAAGACCAAUCAAACAAAGUUACCAAUCAAAACAACAACAAUUUGCUUACCAAAGACAAAUCACUGUCGUUUCAAACAAGGUCCAUAGAAACCAUGUUUUAUGCUACAAACCCUUUGUCUGACAUCAUUGAGAAAUGGCAAACUUGUGAUUCAAAUAUGGACAACUUCAUGUAAAGUUUAAGUCAUGUUGAUAUAUCAUGUUGAAUUUUUGUACAAAUGGAAUCAAGAGGAACAAGAAAUCUGUCUUACAUUCAGAAAAUAAUUAAUGUGGUACAAACGGAACUUGCUCAAUUUUUCAUCAAAGAAUGGAACUCUCGUUACAAAUCAAUACAUGGAGAAUGGGAUGAUACACACAACAGUGGUAACAAAUUUUACAAAUUAGAAUCGCGACGAAAAUUAGACCAAAAAACACGACAAAAAUAUCAGGAUGGAGACACCAGUAAGUGGGACUGUACGAUAUUAUUUGAUGCUAUAAUUUUUUCAAAUUCAAUUGGAAAGCAUCUUAACAAAAAAACAAAGGAUGCUGUUCAUGCACUUCGUUGUGAAAGAAACAAAUACGCACA